This 643-nucleotide ribosomal RNA is filed under the name uncultured marine eukaryote. RNAcentral's name for it is "SSU rRNA". It matches the Rfam family "Eukaryotic small subunit ribosomal RNA", at positions 614 to 1262 of the family's 1831-position model. The record is from RNAcentral.
UGCGGUUAAAAAGCUCGUAGUUGGACUUCUGUCCGAGGCAGCCGGUCCGCACCUGGUGCGUGUAUCAGGUUUGACUAGGGCAUCCUCUUGGGGAACGUUUCUGUGCUUCAUUGCAUGGGACGGAAUUCAAGACUUUUACUUUGAGGAAAUUAGAGUGUUCACGGCAAGCUAUCGCUUUGAAUACAUUAGCAUGGAAUAAUAAUAUAGGGCGUAAGUCUCAUUUUGUUGGUUUCUAGGACAUACGCAAUGAUUAAUAGGGACAAUUGGGGGCAUUCGUAUUAACGCGUCAGAGGUGGAAUUCUUAGAUUGCGUUACGACGAACUACUGCGAAAGCAUUUGCCAAGGAUGUUUUCAUUGAUCAAGAACGAAAGUAUGGGGAUCGAAGACGAUUAGAUACCGUCGUAGUCUAUACCAUAAACUAUGCCAAUUAGAGAUUGGAGGCCGUUCGUUUUAUGACUCCUUCAGCACCUUAUGAGAAAUCAAAAUUUUUGGGUUCCGUGGGGAGUAUGGUCGCAAGGCUGAAACUUAAAGGAAUUGACGGAAGGGCACCACCAGGAGUGGAGCCUGCGGCUUAAUUUGACUCAACACGGGAAAACUUACCAGGUCAGACAUAGUAAGGAUUGACAGAUUGAUAGCUCUUUCU